This 446-nucleotide long non-coding RNA is filed under the name Mytilus galloprovincialis (Mediterranean mussel). Lineage: Eukaryota; Metazoa; Mollusca; Bivalvia; Mytilida; Mytilidae. The record is from RNAcentral.
GUAAACGAAAACGAAUUUUUGCAAGAGUGUACUGGUCAUCUAGAAAAUUUGAUAAGUCGAUGCCACGGAAACGUUUUGUUUGUAAAUAAUCGUUUAACGCAGCUCUAUGAAAUCGAUGAUCAAUGGAAUCAUAUAAAUACUUUUAUUGAAAAAAUUCAAAACCAGAAUGAUGGUUCUUAUUACAGCAAUGGAUUAUUUCAAGCAAUAGAGGAAACCCUAGAAAAGAGAAUACUGGUGGCGGCAAAUACGGGAUCGCCACAACUGUAGCAUUAGUAAAUGAAUCGCGUGCACUACUUCAAUGGAAUAUUGCUGAGAAUGACUGUACUGCGUCAGAUCUUAAUAACGUUUUAAUCGAUAUUGCAAAAUGGAUGUGGCGUCAUUCAAAAAAGUUUUUAUACUCUUAUAUAUUCCCAAAGCAAUAACCGAAUAUUUAUGUUCGAUAUCAU